ACCCACACAUCCAGAAAAUUAAAUAUGCUCCAUCAUGAGUGCAAAAACAUGUUUCUAUCCCUAUGUUGAAUUUUAAUUUCAACAAAAAUUUAUUUCUUUACUAAUUUAAAUGCUCACAGAAUAUUCAAAUAAAUCAAGUUAAAUCCUAUUAAUUGAAAAUUAAAUUUUGGGUGUUAUAGAAUUCAACACUCAUCAUACAGGAACUCAUCAUGUGAUAAUUUUUGGUUUUUUGAAAAAGAUAAAUCUCUAGAACUCUAGUAU
RNAcentral lists this long non-coding RNA (261 nucleotides) under Sorghum bicolor (sorghum). Its description in RNAcentral is "long non-coding RNA (SBIC_LNC012946)". The record is from RNAcentral. Lineage: Eukaryota; Viridiplantae; Streptophyta; Magnoliopsida; Poales; Poaceae.